Molecule: non-coding RNA, 3818 nt
Organism: Podarcis lilfordi (Lilford's wall lizard)
Lineage: Eukaryota; Metazoa; Chordata; Lepidosauria; Squamata; Lacertidae
Source: the annotation of a GenBank genome assembly
CAGUUCUAACUGUAGCUUCUUGUCCCACAUAGAGAUUUCUCAGGAGACAGAUGUUGUGAUCAGGCACUCCCAUUUCUUUAAGAACUUGCCAUAGUUUGCUGUGGUCGACACAGUCAAAGGCUUUUGCAUAGUCAAUGAAAGAGAAGUAGACGUCUUUCUGGAACUCUGUAGCUUUCUCCAUAUUCCAGCGUAUGUUUGCAAUUUGGUCUCUGGUUCCUCUGCCCCUUUGAAAUCCAGCUUGCACUUCUGGGAGUUCUCGGUCCACAUACUUCUUAAGCCUGCCUUGUAGAAUUUUAAGCAUAACCUUGCUUGUGUGUGAAAUGAGUGCAAUUGUGCGGUAGUUGGAACAUUCUUUGGAACUGCCCUUCUUUGGGAUUGGGAUGUAGACUGAUCUUCUCCAAUCCUCUGGCCACUGCUGAGUUUUCCAAACUUGCUGGCAUAUUGAGUGUAGCACCUUAACAGCAUCAUCGUUUAAAAUUUUAAAUAGUUCAGCUGGAAUACCAUCACUUCCACUAGCCCUGUUAUUAGCAGUGCUUUCUAAGGCCCAUUUGACUUCACUCUCCAGGAUGUCUGGCUCAAGGUCAGCAACCACACUACCUGGGGUGUAUGAGGCAUCCAUAUCUUUCUGGUAUAAUUCCUCUUUGUAUUUUUGCCACCUCUUCUUGAUGUCUUCUGCUUCUGUUAGGUCCUUACCACUUUUGCCCUUUAUUAUGGUAAUCUUUGUACGAAAUGUUCCUUUCAUAUCUCCAAUUUUCUCUGGUUCUUCCCAUUCUAUUGUUUUCCUCUAUUUCUUUGCAUUGCUCGUUUAAGAAGGCCUUCUUGUCUCUUCUUGCUAUUUUUUGGAAAUCUGCAUUCAAUUUCCUGUAUCUUUCACUAUCUCCCUCGCAUUUUGCUUGCCUUCUCUCCCCUGCUAUUUGUAAGGCCUCGAUGGACAGCCACUUUGCUUUCUUGCAUUUCCUUUUCAUUGGGAUGGUUUUCGUUGCUGCCUCCUGUAUAAUGUUGCGAGCCUCCAUCCAUAGUUCUUCAGGCACUCUGUUCACCAAAUCUAAAUCCUUAAACCUUUUCCUCACUUCCACUGUGUAUUCAUAAGGGAUGUAACUUAGAUUGUAUCUUACCGGCACAGUGAUUUUUCCUACUUUCUUCAGUUUAAGCUUGAAUUUUGCUGUAAGAAGCUGAUGAUCUGAGCCACAGUCAGCUCCAAGUCUUGUUUUUGCUGGCUGUAUAGAGCUUCUCCAUUUUUGGCUGCAGAGAAUAUAAUCAAUCUGAUUUCGAUGCUGCCCAUCUGGUGAUGUCCAUGUGUAGAGUCGUCUCUUGUGUUGUUGGAAAAGAGUGUUUGUGAUGACCAGCUUGUUCUCUUGGCAGAACUCAAUUAGCCUUUGCCCUGCUUCGUUUUGAACUCCAAACUUGCCAGUUGUUCCUCUUAUCUCUUGAUUCCCUACUUUAGCAUUCCAAUCCCCUAUAAUGAGAAGAACAUCCUUCUUUGGUGUCAUUUCUAUAAGGUGUUGUAAGUCUUCAUAGAAUUGGUCAAUUUCAGUUUCUUCAGCACCAGUAGUUGGUGCAUAAACUUGGAUUACUGUGAUGUUAAAAGGUCUGCCUUGGAUUCGUAUCGAGAUCAUUCUAUCAUUUUUAAGAUUGCAUCCCAGUACAGCUUUCGCCACUCUUUUGUUGACUAUGAGGGCCACUCCUCUUUCCUCGCAGGGGAAUUCAAAUAGGGAUACGGUCCAAAGUAGCACAGGCUGCUCUGGCGCAUGUGGCAGUGAGACAGUUUUGGACAGCACAGAAGAGGUAGAAGGGUAGUUAUGUUGCUAACAUAUGAAUGUAUUUCAAAACAAUACAAGGAAGGCUUUCAUCAGUUGUCCUACAUUCCAACUACCCAAGCUCACAACAGUGGCAGAGAGUUGCUCUCCUGCCUUUAGCAGUCCUCAGAGGCAGGACCUCCAUUAAAACAGCAUUUUUUUACAUAACUGGCAAAUAAACCAUUUUGCCCCUGAAGAACAGUAACGUGGAUUGGUUUAUUUGUUGGGCAAAUAAAUCACUUGCAGCUUCCUCCUCUGCGGUCCUCUAUCUCUCCCUGUUGAUUUUUAGCCACCUCUGUCAUGUUGUUGUGCAGAGCAGGAGAGCAGGUCUGGGAUUUUUUUCAGCGCGGGGGUAAUGGUGUCAUCUGCUGGAGUGCCAUGCUGCCUCGCAGACCCUCCUGGCUCUGUGAAUCAGGUCUUGAUGAGGCUUUUAAGCUUUACUAUUGUUUAUGACUGAUUAGCAUGGAAGGAGGAUGAGGAAGACAAUCAGGUAGAGGCUGGACCCCUCUUCUUUGAAGGGGUUCCUACUUCAUGCUUGCAGUUUUAAUGAUUAACACAUGUUCGCUGGGUUGUUUGCACUUCUAAUUAAAAGCUAAAGGUUACAUUUCAGCCAGCUGAAGAUCUUUUGCUAAAGCUCAAUGUGCUUUACAAGCUGCACUUUAGCAGUCAGAAGUCAAUGUAUCCGAGGUCUGUUGAGCUUCCUCCCCGGAAACAAUGUGUAGGGUUGUGAUCUUGGGAUGUUAUGGUGUUGCUGCUGUUUAGGGUGUGUGGGUGUUAUACACAUGAUCGGAGCAGCUGGUUGCAUUUUUGCAUUCUCCAUGGUUCUGUGGCUGCUGUGGGGGCCUCUCAUUAUGGCUCCUGCACUUCAGAAUUUACCUCUGCUUCCUCAAAGCAGCUUCCCCCUGAAGGCCUCGUUAUUCCCUGAUGCUGCCUGAAUUUUUUUGAGUUAUGGGAAAAACACAAAGUGGUUUUGUUUGCAUGUUCAAGUGGGGAAACGGUUGCUCCAUUAGUGCAAAAGGGGACCCCUCUCUCCUUCCCUCUCUCUAGCACCCUUUCCGCCGCUCCAAUAAUUCUCUUUAAAGUUAUUUGGAAGUGUAUGCUUAAUUAUAUUUGCAUAUGAAAAAUAGGGUCUAAUUAGUGUGAUUGAUUAUUAUUUUAACCUUAAUGACAUUUUGAGUAUCUGUCCCUCCCUAAUAGCAAAAGUAUCACUAAUAAAUCAUGUUCUUUGUAUGGCGAUGGUCUAUUGAGCUGCCAUAUGAAACAUAUUUUAUUAAUAUUCCAGAAUGUAUUGAAUCUGAAACAAGUCAAACAACUGCUCAUUUAUUAAACCGUUUAAAUGUCAGCUUUAUACAGUCAUAAUAUUACAGGUGUAGCAGGAACCCCCCACCCCAAUCAUUCAGUUUGUACAAACUUCACACUCACACACUACAUAUGCCACACUUCUGCUAUAAAUUCAUAGAAAAAUCAACCAUACAUCAGAUUUGCACUGUUCCAUUUUUAUUUUACUCCAUAUGACAAGGACUAUCAAAGGGGGGUGGCUUGGUUCUGGUCAGCCAUAAUCCCUUCACCAUCCCAGCACAUCCACAGGAGCCCUGCCCAGUUGCUAUGCCAACCCUGAUGGUCCUAGACAGAAGACCAUCAAGAUCACAAAGAACUUGCAUAUGGGAGUGGAUUCAGCAUGGACUGAAACAAAGGACAAUGAUCAGAUCUUCCCUCUGGGGGCAGGAAACUGCCAACUCCCUUUGUCUCCUGGAAGUGACUCAUGGGGAGGGGGAAAGGAGGAACCAGCCAGGUGACAGGACACUCAGGUUACCACCACAACUCCUCCCUCAACCCCUCCUUUCUGUAAUGUAUGCAUGAUGUUUCUGGGGGUGGGCUUGACCUAGAGGAUGGGAAUUUCAAAAGUUUUUAUAAGGUCUUGCACACCAUCUUUCUGGGUCUUUCCUCUCUCUCGCAAGUGAGGGGAACACCCUGUUGCAACAGUUCAAUAAAGGCCAAGCCUACAGGCUGCUGUUUUGCUCC